This 487-nucleotide ribosomal RNA is filed under the name Triticum aestivum (bread wheat). Its description in RNAcentral is "partial small subunit ribosomal RNA". It matches the Rfam family "Bacterial small subunit ribosomal RNA", at positions 196 to 699 of the family's 1533-position model. The record is from RNAcentral. Lineage: Eukaryota; Viridiplantae; Streptophyta; Magnoliopsida; Poales; Poaceae.
AGGAGCAAAAGGAGAAAUCCGCCCAAGGAGGGGCUCGCGUCUGAUUAGCUAGUUGGUGAGGUAAUAGCUUACCAAGGCGAUGAUCAGUAGCUGGUCCGAGAGGAUGAUCAGCCACACUGGGACUGAGACACAGCCCAGACACCUACGGGAGGCAGUAGUGGGGAAUUUUCCGCAAUGGGCGAAAGCCUGACGGAGCAAUGCCGCGUGGAGGUGGAAGGCCUACGGGUCGUCAACUUCUUUUCUCGGAGAAGAAACAAUGACGGUAUCUGAGGAAUAAGCAUCGGCUAACUCUGUGCCAGCAGCCGCGGUAAGAAAGAGGAUGCAAGCGUUAUCCGGAAUGAUUGGGCGUAAAGCGUCUGUAGGUGGCUUUUCAAGUCCGCCGUCAAAUCCCAGGGCUCAACCCUGGACAGGCGGUGGAAACUACCAAGCUGGAGUACGGUAGGGGCAGAGGGAAUUUCCGGUGGAGCGGUGAAAUGCAUUGAGAUCU